UCCAGUUUAUCACCGGCAGUCUCUCUAGAGUGCCCACCAUUACGUGAUGGCAACUAAAGACAAAGGUUGCGCUCGUUGCGGGACUUAACCCAACACUUCACAGCACGAGCUGACGACAGCCAUGCAGCACCUGUGUAAACGUCUCUUGCGAGAGGUCCCACUUUCAUAGGCUUGCGCAUACAUGUCAAGCCUGGGUAAGGUUCUUCGCGUAGCCUCGAAUUAAACCACAUGCUCCACCGCUUGUGCGGGUCCCCGUCAAUUUCUUUGAGUUUCAGUCUUGCGACCGUACUCCCCAGGUGGUAGAUUUAAUGAGUUAUCGUCGGCACCGGAGGGAUCGACACCUCCAACACCUAAUCUACAUCGUUUACGGCAAGGACUAC
RNAcentral lists this unclassified non-coding RNA (380 nucleotides) under uncultured bacterium. RNAcentral's name for it is "contains 16S-23S intergenic spacer region". The record is from RNAcentral.